AUGAACGCUGGCGGCGUGCCUAAUACAUGCAAGUCGCGCGAACGGACGAGAAGCUUGCUUUUCUGAUGUUAGCGGCGGACGGGUGAGUAACACGUGGAUAACCUACCUAUAAGACUGGGAUAACUUCGGGAAACCGGAGCUAAUACCGGAUAAUAUUUUGAACCGCAUGGUUCAAAAGUGAAAGACGGUCUUGCUGUCACUUAUAGAUGGAUCCGCGCCGCAUUAGCUAGUUGGUAAGGUAACGGCUUACCAAGGCAACGAUGCAUAGCCGACCUGAGAGGGUGAUCGGCCACACUGGAACCGAGACACGGUCCAGACUCCUACGGGAGGCAGCAGUAGGGAAUCUUCCGCAAUGGGCGAAAGCCUGACGGAGCAACGCCGCGUGAGUGAUGAAGGUCUUCGGAUCGUAAAACUCUGUUAUUAGGGAAGAACAUAUGUGUAAGUAACUGUGCACAUCUUGACGGUACCUAAUCAGAAAGCCACGGCUAACUACGUG
Molecule: ribosomal RNA, 496 nt
Filed under: uncultured bacterium
Lineage: Bacteria
Description: partial 16S ribosomal RNA
Rfam family: Bacterial small subunit ribosomal RNA
Source: RNAcentral